RNAcentral lists this ribosomal RNA (253 nucleotides) under uncultured bacterium. RNAcentral's name for it is "partial 16S ribosomal RNA". It matches the Rfam family "Bacterial small subunit ribosomal RNA", at positions 524 to 776 of the family's 1533-position model. The record is from RNAcentral.
GACAGAGGGUGCAAACGUUGUUCGGAAUUACUGGGCGUAAAGCGUGUGUAGGCGGCCGCGUAAGUCGGAUGUGAAAGCCCUGGGCUCAACCCAGGAAGUGCACUCGAUACUGCGUGGCUUGAGUACUGGAGAGGUUGGUGGAAUUCUCGGUGUAGAGGUGAAAUUCGUAGAGAUCAUGAGGAAGACCAGUGGCGAAGGCGGGUCUCUGGACAGUUCCUGACACUGAGACACGAAGGCCAGGGGAGCAAACGGG